This 611-nucleotide ribosomal RNA is filed under the name Listeria monocytogenes. Its description in RNAcentral is "bacterial SSU rRNA". It matches the Rfam family "Bacterial small subunit ribosomal RNA", at positions 930 to 1533 of the family's 1533-position model. The record is from RNAcentral. Lineage: Bacteria; Bacillati; Bacillota; Bacilli; Caryophanales; Listeriaceae.
CGGUGGAGCAUGUGGUUUAAUUCGAAGCAACGCGAAGAACCUUACCAAAUCUUGACAUCCUCUGAUCCCUCUAGAGAUAGAGUUUUCCCCUUCGGGGGACAGAGUGACAGGUGGUGCAUGGUUGUCGUCAGCUCGUGUCGUGAGAUGUUGGGUUAAGUCCCGCAACGAGCGCAACCCUUAAGCUUAGUUGCCAUCAUUAAGUUGGGCACUCUAAGUUGACUGCCGGUGACAAACCGGAGGAAGGUGGGGAUGACGUCAAAUCAUCAUGCCCCUUAUGAUUUGGGCUACACACGUGCUACAAUGGACAAUACAAAGGGUAGCGAAACCGCGAGGUCAAGCAAAUCCCAUAAAGUUGUUCUCAGUUCGGAUUGUAGUCUGCAACUCGACUACAUGAAGCUGGAAUCGCUAGUAAUCGUAGAUCAGCAUGCUACGGUGAAUACGUUCCCGGGUCUUGUACACACCGCCCGUCACACCACGAGAGUUUGUAACACCCGAAGCCGGUGGAGUAACCUUUUGGAGCUAGCCGUCGAAGGUGGGACAAAUGAUUGGGGUGAAGUCGUAACAAGGUAGCCGUAUCGGAAGGUGCGGCUGGAUCACCUCCUUUCUAAGGA